RNAcentral lists this ribosomal RNA (555 nucleotides) under uncultured archaeon. RNAcentral describes it as "bacterial SSU rRNA". It matches the Rfam family "Archaeal small subunit ribosomal RNA", at positions 325 to 879 of the family's 1478-position model. The record is from RNAcentral.
ACGGGGUGCAGCAGGCGCGAAACCUUUACACUGCACGACAGUGCGAUAGGGGGACUCCGAGUGCGAGGGCAUAUAGUCCUCGCUUUUCUGUACCCUAAGGUGGUACAAGAAUAAGGGCUGGGCAAGACCGGUGCCAGCCGCCGCGGUAAUACCGGCAGCCCGAGUGAUGGCCGCUAUUAUUGGGCCUAAAGCGUCCGUAGCCGGCCAGACAAGUCCGUUGGGAAAUCGGCGCGCUCAACGCGUCGGCGUCCGGCGGAAACUGUCUGGCUUGGGGCCGGAAGACCUGAGGGGUACGUCCGGGGUAGGAGUGAAAUCCCGUAAUCUCGGACGGACCGCCGGUGGCGAAAGCGCCUCAGGAAGACGGACCCGACGGUCAGGGACGAAAGCUAGGGUCUCGAACCGGAUUAGAUACCCGGGUAGUCCUAGCUGUAAACGAUGCUCGCUAGGUGUGCCGCAGGCUACGAGCCUGCGCUGUGCCGUAGGGAAGCCGCGAAGCGAGCCGCCUGGGAAGUACGUCUGCAAGGAUGAAACUUAAAGGAAUUGGCGGGGGAGCAC